RNA transcript from Portunus trituberculatus (swimming crab), 982 nucleotides. RefSeq lists it as uncharacterized. The transcript has 5 exons. NCBI's taxonomy places the organism in Eukaryota, Metazoa, Arthropoda, Malacostraca, Decapoda, Portunidae. The record is from RefSeq and is a predicted model, not a curated record.
UGGAGAAAUUAACAGCGUAUGAAAACGGAGGCGGGAGAAUAAAAAAAAAAACGAGGUAGAAGCUGAAGCCGUAGUCGGUGUCAAGCGGAAGGAAACGAACGAGGGCAGACACUCAUUCCCUUCAUUACCCCCAUCAUUAUCCUUUUGUUCACUUACCUUCCCUUCAGUCCCCAGUCGCCCUUCAUUCAUUUAUCACCUUCUCUUCAUUUACUCACUCAUGCUUUCACUGCCCCAUCAUCCUACCUGUCAUCCUUGGCACCUCAUCACCCCAUCAUCCUUUCUUUCACCCAGUCAUCCUACCUGUCACUGCUCGUCGCCUCCCCUCUUCCCCUUGCCCUUCAGAUGGACACAGGUGCUCGGGGGCGUCGUUACAAGCACCUGGCGGAGUGUUCACGUGACCUUGGACUGGCGGCGGCGCGGUGUGAAGCGAUUUCAGCAUUACGACACCGGACGCUUCGUGGAGAAACGCAACGCACACACACGCGCGCCAUCCGGAGUGACCAGCGUGCGCGGUGACGAAGAACAGUUGCAGUGGUGUCGCGAGCUGCUUCAAAACAAUGAUGAUGCGGUGUUCAAUCCCACAAGUUCAUACAAAGGAAGAUUACAACGCUGGCAUAAACUGUUGGUGUGGAGCUUCAUGAGUGACUCCCAGACAUACUUCCCGUGAUGGAUGGCACAAUAAACUGGCUGUGUGAAAGAGGUAUUAGACAGCAGCUUCUUCAGGGACCUGCCAGCUUUUACUGUGACAUCUCAGUGUGUGGCGACUGUGCCCUUCAAUUCAGGCUCCAUAAGGGUCGUCCAGCAUCCAGGAUCCAUCCAGCAGUGCACACACACACACACACACACACGCUCACAGUAUUCAAACAGAUUUUGCAGUCAUUCACCAUCACUAGUUAGUUUAUUUUUUGUCAAUUAAAAAGUAUUUUUAGAAUGAAAAAAAUGAUUUAGUUUAUUUUUUGUCAAUUAAAAAAGUAUUUUUAGA